This 85-nucleotide transfer RNA is filed under the name Rosa chinensis. Its description in RNAcentral is "tRNA RchiOBHm_Chr2g0140841". The stretch from base 12 to 84 matches the Rfam family "tRNA". Rfam says of the family: Transfer RNA (tRNA) molecules are approximately 80 nucleotides in length. Their secondary structure includes four short double-helical elements and three loops (D, anti-codon, and T loops). The record is from RNAcentral. Lineage: Eukaryota; Viridiplantae; Streptophyta; Magnoliopsida; Rosales; Rosaceae.
CGUCGUGAAUGGUCGGGAUAGCUCAGCUGGUAGAGCAGAGGAUUGAAAAUCCUCGUGUCACCAGUUCAAAUCUGGUUCCUGGCAC